ACAAGCGGUGGAGCAUGUGGUUAAUUCGAAGCAACGCGAAGAACCUUACCAGGCCUUGACAUGCAGAGAACUUUCCAGAGAUGGAUUGGUGCCUUCGGGAACUCUGACACAGGUGCUGCAUGGCUGUCGUCAGCUCGUGUCGUGAGAUGUUGGGUUAAGUCCCGUAACGAGCGCAACCCUUGUCCUUAGUUACCAGCACGUUAUGGUGGGCACUCUAAGGAGACUGCCGGUGACAAACCGGAGGAAGGUGGGGAUGACGUCAAGUCAUCAUGGCCCUUGCGGCCUGGGCUACACACGUGCUACAAUGGUCGGUACAAAGGGUUGCCAAGCCGCGAGGUGGAGCUAAUCCCAUAAAACCGAUCGUAGUCCGGAUCGCAGUCUGCAACUCGACUGCGUGAAGUCGGAAUCGCUAGUAAUCGUGAAUCAGAAUGUCACGGUGAAUACGUUCCCGGGCCUU
Molecule: ribosomal RNA, 457 nt
Filed under: uncultured Pseudomonas sp.
Lineage: Bacteria; Pseudomonadati; Pseudomonadota; Gammaproteobacteria; Pseudomonadales; Pseudomonadaceae
Description: bacterial SSU rRNA
Rfam family: Bacterial small subunit ribosomal RNA
Source: RNAcentral